Molecule: unclassified non-coding RNA, 222 nt
Filed under: Glomeraceae sp.
Lineage: Eukaryota; Fungi; Glomeromycota; Glomeromycetes; Glomerales; Glomeraceae
Description: partial contains 5.8S ribosomal RNA and internal transcribed spacer 2
Rfam family: 5.8S ribosomal RNA (bases 1-71)
Source: RNAcentral
GUGAAUCAUCAAAUCUUUGAACGCAAAUUGCACUCCCUGGUAUUCCGGAGAGUAUGCCGGUUUGAGGGUCAGUUUAAAUAAAAACCGGUGUGGUUGCUGCCUUUCGUGGCGAGGCACUGGAUUUGGGUCGUCUUGGCCUCGGUUAAGUGACCUAUAAUGUUGAUUGAUUUUUUUCGAAUGUAUUUAAAUGUUUUUUUGGCAGUUUGCGUUAUUGAAUACUAG